GGGGGUCCCCGCAGCCGGCCCCGAGGCCCACGCCCAGACGGUCCUCAGCCAUCCCUCUCACCCGCCGAGCAGCACCUAGAGUCGCCGGUUCCCAGCGCCCCGGAGGCCCUGGCGGGCGGUCCCACCCAGGCGGGUUGUGCGCGUCUGUGUUUGGCUUGUGUGUCUGGCGUCAGUGUCUGGGAAUUGAAGACCAAGUCUCUGUGGGGUCUGUGCGGUGCAGGCGGUGGGUGUUGCUGGCAGCCUGUCUCAGCCCUGUGUGUGUGUGUGUGUGUGUGUGUGUGUGUGUAUGCGCACGCCUGUUGGGUCUGAGGGGCUUGUCACUGAUCGGCUGGCUCAUGUGUGUCAUGUGGCUGCGUGUGUGUAGUGUUUAUGUCAGUCACGUGAGACCAGUGUUUUCGGUGGGUGCUGGAGGUGUGUGCGCUGGGGCUGUGCGUCUGGAGUUGUGUGCUGGCAGUUGGUGCUGGUGCUCCAGGGCUGGGGAGGAGGGCAGCUGAUGUCUGCUGCCCUGCUGGUGGCCUGCGUGUUGUUGCCGGGAUGUGUGGUGAUGCUGCUGAUGACAUGUGUGCUUGAUUUACAUGUGU
Molecule: long non-coding RNA, 581 nt
Filed under: Ictidomys tridecemlineatus (thirteen-lined ground squirrel)
Lineage: Eukaryota; Metazoa; Chordata; Mammalia; Rodentia; Sciuridae
Description: lncRNA (ENSSTOG00000034869.1)
Source: RNAcentral